RNAcentral lists this ribosomal RNA (449 nucleotides) under uncultured bacterium. Its description in RNAcentral is "bacterial SSU rRNA". It matches the Rfam family "Bacterial small subunit ribosomal RNA", at positions 329 to 794 of the family's 1533-position model. The record is from RNAcentral.
CUCCAGACUCCUACGGGAGGCAGCAGUGGGGAAUAUUGCACAAUGGGGGAAACCCUGAUGCAGCGACGCCGCGUGAGUGAAGAAGUAUUUCGGUAUGUAAAGCUCUCUCAGCAGGGAAGAAGUUGACGGUACCUGAGUAAGAAGCCCCGGCUAACUACGUGCCAGCAGCCGCGGUAAUACGUAGGGGGCAAGCGUUAUCCGGAUUUACUGGGUGUAAAGGGAGCGUAGACGGCAGUGCAAGUCUGAAGUGAAGGCCCCGGGCUUAACCCGGGAAUUGCUUUGGAAACUGUACGGCUGGAGUGCCGGAGAGGUAAGCGGAAUUCCUAGUGUAGCGGUGAAAUGCGUAGAUAUUAGGAGGAACACCAGUGGCGAAGGCGGCUUACUGGACAGUAACUGACGUUGAGGCUCGAAAGCGUGGGGAGCAAACAGGAUUAGAUACCCCGGUAAAU